RNAcentral lists this ribosomal RNA (292 nucleotides) under uncultured bacterium. RNAcentral describes it as "partial 16S ribosomal RNA". It matches the Rfam family "Bacterial small subunit ribosomal RNA", at positions 505 to 796 of the family's 1533-position model. The record is from RNAcentral.
GUUUCAGCCGCCGCGGUAAUACAGGGGGGGCAAGCGUUGUUCGGAAUUACUGGGCGUAAAGGGCCAGUAGGCGGCCAACUAAGUCCGACGUGAAAUCCCCAAGCUUAACUUGGGAACUGCGUCGGAUACUGGAUGGCUUGAAUUCGGGAGAGGGAUGCAGAAUUCCAGGUGUAGCGGUGAAAUGCGUAGAUAUCUGGAGGAAUACCGGUGGCGAAGGCGGCAUCCUGGACCGACAUUGACGCUGAACGGCGAAAGCUAGGGGAGCAAACGGGAUUAGAAACCCCAGUAGUCC